Molecule: long non-coding RNA, 1493 nt
Filed under: Calidris pugnax (ruff)
Lineage: Eukaryota; Metazoa; Chordata; Aves; Charadriiformes; Scolopacidae
Description: lncRNA (ENSCPUG00000002108.1)
Source: RNAcentral
UGCGGCGGCAGAAGAGGUGGCUACGGGAGGAGCUGGGCCGGCUACUGGACACCUGGGCUACGUAGGUCCCGGGGGGGGGCAAGUUGGGGGUGGUGGCUACUAGCCCCCCCAUCCCACUAGCCCACCUCCCAAAUCUUUCCAAAACUGGGGGAAAAAAGGGGGGAAAGGGGGGAAAAUCGGGACUUUUGGCUACUAAAUCCCGGCUGUGGCUACUCCCCCCGGGGGGUGGUGGUCACGGUGGCUAGUAACUCCCCCCCCCGAGGUUGCCCAACGUCUCUUCCUCCCGCAGGGGACCUUGGUGGCCACGGUGGCCACCUGGGGAGGUGCCCCUCAGCGCAGAGAUGGCGGCCGCCUGCCUGGGGGAGGAGGAGGAGGAGGUGGCCGGAGCCGCGGAGGACGGCGAGUUGGUAGCCCAGCCCUGGGGUUUGGUGGCCCAAGCGUCAGCACGGCCACCAGCGCCCCUGUCGUGGCCACUGGGGCUGGUGGCCCAGUCACGGGAGCUGGUGGCCCAACCAUGGGAGCUGGUGGCCCAGCCAUGGCCACGGGUGUCGGUAGCCCAGUGGCAGGUGUUGGUGGCCCAGUCAUCACCUCUGGUAGCCCAACCAUCAUCAUGGGAGCUGGUGGCCCAGCCAUGGGUUUCGGUGGCCCAUCCGUGGCCAUGGGUGCUGGUAGCCCAACGGCGGGUGCCAGUAGCCCAGUGGCGGGAGCUGGUGGCCCAGUCAUCGCCACUGGUGGCCCAGCCAUCAUCAUGGGUGCCAGUAGCCCAGUGGCAGGUGCUGGUGGCCCAGCAGUGGGUGCUGGUGGCCCAGCCUUGGCUACGGGAGCUGGUGGCCCAGUCAUCGCCGCUGGUGGCCCAGCCAUCAUCAUGGGUGCCAGUAGCCCAAUGGCAGGAGCUGGUGGCCCAGUGGCAGGUUCUGGUAGCCCAGAGGCGGGUGCUGGUGGCCCAGCCAUGGCUACGGGAGCUGGUGGCCCAGUGGCAGGUCCUGGUAGCCCAGAGGCGGGUGCUGGUGGCCCAGCAGUGGCCACUGGUGGCCCAACCAUCAUCAGGGGUGCCAGUAGCCCAAUGGCAGGAGCUGGUAGCCCAGCAGUGGGUGCUGGUGGCCCAGCCGUGGCCACAGGAGCUGGUAGCCCAGCGGCGGGUGCCAGUAGCCCAGUGGCAGGUGCUGGUGGCCCAGCAGCGGCCACAGGUGCCAGUAGCCCACUGGUGGGUGCUGGUAGCCCAGCGGCGGGUGUUGGUGGCCCGGCCAUGGCCACGGGUGUUGGUAGCCCACUGGCGGGUACUGGUAGCCCACUGGCGGGUGCUGGUAGCCCACCGGUGGGUACUGGUAGCCCCGCUGGCCGUGCUGGUGGCCCUGCUGGCCCUGCUGUGGCUCCUGCCCUGCCCGUGGCCGGGGCCACCUCCCGGGGGGGGCUGGUGGCCCCACUUCCAGCUGCGCCACCGCGGGCCCCCCCCGCUCUGACCCCCCCCCAAUAAAGAGCCCUGGGCUCCACCA